CCCGCUGAACUUAAGCAUAUCACUCAGCGGAGGAAAAGAAAACAAAUGUGAUUCCCCCAGUAACGGCGAGUGAACAGGGAUGAAGCCCAGCGUGAAGGCCCUCCUCGGCAGUCGAGGAGAGCGGUGCCACGUGGGUGACUCGGUGAUUGCUUGCACCUUUCGCAGACACAAGUUCCCUUGAGUGGGACGCCGAAGCAGGUGGGAGCCCUGUAGUGACUGUUCGGGAGCAACUAGCCGGGUCAUGGCAGAGUCGACUUGCUUGGGAGUGCAAGUUAAAGUACCAGGUAGGCUCCUGGUAAGGCUGAAUACUACCGUCAGACCGAUAGCGAACAAGUACCGUGAGGGAAAGUUGCAAAGUACUUUGAAGAGAGAGUUAAAGAGAACGUGAAACGGCCAACAGGCAAACGAAUGGAGCUGCGAAGACGUGGCGGAGUGCAGCCAAGAGGUUGCAGUCUUGUUGUGGAUAGUGCUUGUUGAGGGGCAUUUACAACUUGUGCUGUAGCCAGGAGGUGUAUACUGUCGUCACAGUGCUGUGAGCGGUUGUAUGAUGGGCAGUAAUCACGAGGUGCGGAUGGUGGGAAUUAUUGCAAUUCUUUUAGCCGUGUCUCGCAUCUGUCCAUGCAAUGACUGCAUUUAUUCCCAGUAAUGGGUAAGUGGAAGAGUAGGCCAGGCGGACUGUUGUUGGUGGUUGUGGCAAGUCGUGCGAACAGCUCGACCCUACUUCCAGUGGCAACAGGCAAGGCUGGUCGAGGCUUCCACAUCACAGCAGUAGUGGUCUCUAUUCGACCCGUCUUGAAACACGG
Molecule: ribosomal RNA, 803 nt
Filed under: uncultured fungus
Lineage: Eukaryota; Fungi
Description: eukaryotic LSU rRNA
Rfam family: Eukaryotic large subunit ribosomal RNA
Source: RNAcentral